Molecule: ribosomal RNA, 446 nt
Filed under: uncultured Enterobacteriaceae bacterium
Lineage: Bacteria; Pseudomonadati; Pseudomonadota; Gammaproteobacteria; Enterobacterales; Enterobacteriaceae
Description: bacterial SSU rRNA
Rfam family: Bacterial small subunit ribosomal RNA
Source: RNAcentral
AGCAUGUGGUUUAAUUCGAUGCAACGCGAAGAACCUUACCUGGUCUUGACAUCCACAGAACUUGGCAGAGAUGCCUUGGUGCCUUCGGGAACUGUGAGACAGGUGCUGCAUGGCUGUCGUCAGCUCGUGUUGUGAAAUGUUGGGUUAAGUCCCGCAACGAGCGCAACCCUUAUCCUUUGUUGCCAGCGGUCCGGCCGGGAACUCAAAGGAGACUGCCAGUGAUAAACUGGAGGAAGGUGGGGAUGACGUCAAGUCAUCAUGGCCCUUACGACCAGGGCUACACACGUGCUACAAUGGCAUAUACAAAGAGAAGCGACCUCGCGAGAGCAAGCGGACCUCAUAAAGUAUGUCGUAGUCCGGAUUGGAGUCUGCAACUCGACUCCAUGAAGUCGGAAUCGCUAGUAAUCGUGGAUCAGAAUGCCACGGUGAAUACGUUCCCGGGCCUU